AGUCGAGCGGUAGAGAGGUGCUUGCUCCUCUUGAGAGCGGCGGACGGGUGAGUAAAGCCUAGGAAUCUGCCUGGUAGUGGGGGAUAACGCUCGGAAACGGACGCUAAUACCGCAUACGUCCUACGGGAGAAAGCAGGGGACCUUCGGGCCUUGCGCUAUCAGAUGAGCCUAGGUCGGAUUAGCUAGUUGGUGAGGUAAUGGCUCACCAAGGCGACGAUCCGUAACUGGUCUGAGAGGAUGAUCAGUCACACUGGAACUGAGACACGGUCCAGACUCCUACGGGAGGCAGCAGUGGGGAAUAUUGGACAAUGGGCGAAAGCCUGAUCCAGCCAUGCCGCGUGUGUGAAGAAGGUCUUCGGAUUGUAAAGCACUUUAAGUUGGGAGGAAGGGCAUUAACCUAAUACGUUGGUGUUUUGACGUUACCGACAGAAUAAGCACCGGCUAACUCUGUGCCAGCAGCCGCGGUAAUACAGAGGGUGCAAGCGUUAAUCGGAAUUACUGGGCGUAAAGCGCGCGUAGGUGGUUCGUUAAGUUGGAUGUGAAAUCCCCGGGCUCAACCUGGGAACUGCAUUCAAAACUG
Molecule: ribosomal RNA, 580 nt
Filed under: uncultured bacterium
Lineage: Bacteria
Description: bacterial SSU rRNA
Rfam family: Bacterial small subunit ribosomal RNA
Source: RNAcentral